Molecule: long non-coding RNA, 1911 nt
Organism: Pan troglodytes (chimpanzee)
Lineage: Eukaryota; Metazoa; Chordata; Mammalia; Primates; Hominidae
Exons: 3
Source: RefSeq, a predicted model, not a curated record
AACAAUUUACUGUUGAUGGACACAGCAAGGUGAGAAUUUUGAGAUUCAAACAGCAGAUAAUAUAAGCCAAAGUUUUCUUUCUAUGGAAAAGUUGAUGCGCCUUUUAAGAAGUGAACAACCAAGUUAUUUGCCUGGAAAAGUCUCCUGAAAUACUGAAGUUAUGCUAAAGAAGGAGAAGAGAAAGGAAGCUGCAGUCCCUCUAUAACUCCUAAAUUUUUAAUUUGGAGUUCCUCUUCUUCGGUGCAACAAUCUUUCUGCAUGCACAGAUCCAUGUGGCACUCAUCUCAUCAUUCUGAGGGAAGAAAGAUGCAUGGGGAAUGUUGCAUGUGGUUAUUUCUAUUUCUCUCAAGUGCACAUUAUCCAUCAAGAAGAUUUAAAUCAUUUUGAAAUAUUUAUAUAAUGAUCAAAAAUUAACUUUUAUACAUGUUAUUAGGUAGGUUAUUGUAAUAACUAUUACUAUAAUUAAUAUAGGCGAGUUUGUUUUGCCAAAACUCUUCAAAUGAGAUCUAGAAUUAGAAAUGACUUUUUUCCUUACAUCUUGGGCAGAACCCACAGAAAACAAUAAAGCAGGAGAGAAAAGAGGAUGGCAGUUUACUCAGGAAACAUAGGUUGUGCAAAGCUUUGCAAUGAUACUCUCAAUUCAGAGCAAUGAAGAACAGAAUUCUGUCUUCCCAUAAUGAUGGCAUUCAAUUAUCACUAGACUUACAAGACUACAGAAAAUUUCUCAAGAACCAGUAAGGAUCAGACAGAGCCAAUGACAAUACUGAAGAAGCUUGCCAGUGGAGAAUGAAAGCUCAGUUACACAAAUUACGUUGUUGAACCAGUGCCAGAAAUAAAAUGUGAUGGACAAACUCAUUAAUUAUGAGUGUGAACCAGACAAAACUGAGAAUAAGGUGGGAAUUCCUUCAUAAUCUGUCCCUACUUAGUUGCACCAUAAACAUAAAUGUUGUAAGAGGCAAAAGAGUGGUAAAAAGCUCAUUAACACUGAGAUUAUUCUUGUUAAUUCAUCUGAAUGAGACCUUAACGUACAAAAUAACUUGAAUUACAGAAAACGUUGAAAAGUUGUAUUUCUUGCACAUCUAAGAUUGACAGGGAGAUAUAUGUGUGAAUUGUCACGAAACGCCAUCUUCAAGAUGUCAUCACAAUCAAUCUGUAGAUUAAGGUCAGCCAAUAUAAUAUUCCAACCUGAGCCUUUGAAAACUGAACAGGAGUGAGUAUAAUAAUCUCUAGAAAAGCAUCAGUUAAGAUUCUAGCUUGGCCAUCUCCAUCAUCUGUGUCCUUUAUUUCUGCUAACCUUCAAGUUUUCUAUAUAUGACAUUAUCUUUCCAGUCUCCUCGGAAAAAUCGCUCUUCACUUCAAUUAGUUUGAAUCAGUUUAUUUUGCUUUCCACCAAGAGCUGAAAUUUUUCUAAACCUGCACACUCACUUAUGAAGUCCCUAGAGAUUACACGUUACUUGUGUUCCUUAGUCUUCAUUCCUUGUUCUUAUCUUGUUUACUCUUCUAUGCAUCAAUUCUGUGAGAGCCAAAACCAAUUUUUAUGCGUGUAAAAGGGAAAAAAACAUAUGUGCAUAACUAAUGACUUCUGAAAUUUAUUAUGACAAGAACCCUCCCACUCAGAAGAAUUAUGAAGGCUUGUUGUAAAAAAUAAGAAAAUAAGUCUUUGAUAAUGAAAGACAACAAAUAGGUUGCUUGGACUUCAGAAUUUUAUUCUAAAUAAACCUUCUAAAUUGAACUUACUACCCCAAACCUUGCCUCAAUCCGCCUGUGAUAGUAAGGUAAGAUUUAUUCAAUUCACCAAGUCAGCUAAGAUCAGGUUAACUCUUGCCUUCUCAAAGUGUCCCACUAUCAAGAUAUCCAAGGUAAUCACACCUCUCCUGCAACAAAAAUUUAUAAAUACAGCAAGAAUGGUAU